RNAcentral lists this ribosomal RNA (446 nucleotides) under uncultured bacterium. RNAcentral describes it as "bacterial SSU rRNA". It matches the Rfam family "Bacterial small subunit ribosomal RNA", at positions 958 to 1397 of the family's 1533-position model. The record is from RNAcentral.
AACGCGAAGAACCUUACCUGGGUUUGACAUGCUAGGAUUAUCCCUGUGAAAGCAGGGUAGGCCCUUCGGGGUACAACUAGUACAGGUGCUGCAUGGCUGUCGUCAGCUCGUGUCGUGAGAUGUCGGGUUAAGUCCCUUAACGAGCGAAACCUUUGCCCUUAGUUACCAUCGAGUAAAGUCGGGGACUCUAAGGGGACUGCCGGUGUCAAACCGGAGGAAGGUGGAGAUGACGUCAAGUCCUCAUGGCCUUUAUGCCCAGGGCUACACACGUGCUACAAUGGAGUGCAUAAAGCGAACCUAAAGCGCAAGCUCAUGGAAAUCGCAAAAAUCACUCCCCAGUUCAGAUCGGAGGCUGCAACUCGCCUCCGUGAAGUUGGAAUCGCUAGUAAUCGCGGAUCAGCUACGCCGCGGUGAAUGUGUUCCCGGGCCUUGUACACACCGGCUAC